UACGUAGGGCGCAAGCGUUGUCCGGAAUUAUUGGGCGUAAAGAGCUCGUAGGCGGUUUGUCGCGUCUGCUGUGAAAACCUAAGGCUCAACCUUGGGCUUGCAGUGGGUACGGGCAGACUAGAGUGCGGUAGGGGUGACUGGAAUUCCUGGUGUAGCGGUGGAAUGCGCAGAUAUCAGGAGGAACACCGAGUGGCGAAGGCAG
This 202-nucleotide ribosomal RNA is filed under the name uncultured bacterium. RNAcentral describes it as "partial 16S ribosomal RNA". It matches the Rfam family "Bacterial small subunit ribosomal RNA", at positions 524 to 724 of the family's 1533-position model. The record is from RNAcentral.